UAGUGAGGUAGGGUAGGUGUUGUUUUUUAAUUGGAGGGAUAAGGGUUAGGUGUCUAUUUUUGUUUGAGUAGGUUGAUAGGAUGAGAUGUAAAGGGGUUAGGAUUGGAUAGAAUUUGUUAGGGAGUUUGUUAUUAUUAUUUUUUAUUAUUUUGUGAGGGUAUAAUAACAUGGAUGAGGGUACAUGGUAGGAUAAGGUAAAAUUG
Molecule: long non-coding RNA, 203 nt
Filed under: Capsicum annuum
Lineage: Eukaryota; Viridiplantae; Streptophyta; Magnoliopsida; Solanales; Solanaceae
Description: long non-coding RNA (CANN_LNC007359)
Source: RNAcentral